Molecule: ribosomal RNA, 1243 nt
Filed under: metagenome
Description: bacterial LSU rRNA
Rfam family: Bacterial large subunit ribosomal RNA
Source: RNAcentral
UGAAUACGAGAUGCUACGGCAUCGAAGCAGUCUAUGUCAUACUUCCAAGAAAAGCUUGCACUGUCAUAAACAAAUAAUGCCUGUACCAUAACCGACACAGGUGGGUAGGUAGAGUAUACUAAGGGGCGCGAGAUAACUCUCUCUAAGGAACUCGGCAAAAUGACUCCGUAACUUCGGGAGAAGGAGUGCCUUAUUUUAUAAGGUUGCAAUAACAAGAUCCAAGCAACUGUUUACCAAAAACACAGGUCUCCGCUAAGUCGUAAGACGAUGUAUGGGGGCUGACGCCUGCCCAGUGCCAGAAGGUUAAAGAAGUUGGUUAGCAUUAGCGAAGCUGAUAACUGAAGCCCUGGUGAACGGCGGCCGUAACGAUAACGGUCCUAAGGUAGCGAAAUUCCUUGUCGGGUAAGUUCCGACCCGCACGAAAGGCGUAAUGAUUUGGAUACUGUCUCGGAGAGGGGCUCGGUGAAAUAGACUUGUCUGUGAAGAUGCGGACUACCUGCACCAGGACAGAAAGACCCUAUGAAGCUUUACUGUAACUUGAGAUUGAAAUUGGACUUUAUUUGCGCAGUAUAGGUGGGAGACGUUGAAAAUAUUCUUGCGGGAAUAUUGGAGUCAUCAGUGAGAUACCACUCUUAUAAUGUUAGAUUUCUAACUUUGUAUCAUUAUCUGGUCAAAGAACAGUCUCAGGCGGGCAGUUUGACUGGGGCGGUCGCCUCCCAAACGGUAACGGAGGCGCACAAAGGUUUCCUCUGAACGUGUAGAAAUCGUAUCUAGAGUGUAAAGGCAUAAGGAAGCUUGACUGUGAGACCUACAAGUCGAGCAGGGACGAAAGUCGGUCUUAGUGAUCUGACGGUGCUGAGUGGAAAGGCCGUCACUCAACGGAUAAAAGUUACUCUAAGGAUAACAGGCUGAUCUCCCCCAAGAGUUCACAUCGACGGGGAGGUUUGGCACCUCGAUGUCGGCUCAUCGCAUACUGGGGCGGUAGUACGUCCCAAGGGUUGGGCUGUUCGCCCAUGAAAGCGGUACGCGAGCUGGGUUCAGAACGUCGUGAGACAGUUCGGUCCAUAUCCGGUGUAGGCGUUAGAAUAUUGAGAGGAGCCUUCUUUAGUACGAGAGGACCGAGAAGGACAUACCUCUGGUGUACCAGUUAUCGUGCCAACGGUAAACGCUGGGUAGCUAUGUAUGGAGAGGAUAACCGCUGAAAGCAUCUAAGUGGGAAGCCCACCUCAAGAUAAGUAUUCUC